GAUGAACGCUGGCGGCGUGCUUAACACAUGCAAGUCGAACGGAAAGGCUCCUGCUUGCAGGGGUACUCGAGUGGCGAACGGGUGAGUAACACGUGGGUGAUCUGCCCUGCACUUCGGGAUAAGCCUGGGAAACUGGGUCUAAUACCGGAUAGGACCACAUUUUGGAUGGUGUGGUGGAAAGUUUUUCGGUGUGGGAUGAGCUCACGGCCUAUCAGCUUGUUGGUGGGGUAAUGGCCUACCAAGGCGUCGACGGGUAGCCGGCCUGAGAGGGUGUACGGCCACAUUGGGACUGAGAUACGGCCCAGACUCCUACGGGAGGCAGCAGUGGGGAAUAUUGCACAAUGGGCGGAAGCCUGAUGCAGCAACGCCGCGUGGGGGAUGACGGCCUUCGGGUUGUAAACUCCUUUCGCUAGGGACGAAGCGCAAGUGACGGUACCUGGAGAAGAAGCACCGGCUAACUACGUG
This 465-nucleotide ribosomal RNA is filed under the name uncultured bacterium. RNAcentral describes it as "partial 16S ribosomal RNA". It matches the Rfam family "Bacterial small subunit ribosomal RNA", at positions 28 to 507 of the family's 1533-position model. The record is from RNAcentral.